CAAGUACUACCUCCGUCCUAAAAUUAUUGUCUUUGAUUUGUUUAAAUAUGAAUGUAUCUAGUCAUGUAUUAGUAUUUAGAUACAUCCAUUUCUAAACAAAUCUAAGAUAAUAAUUUUGGGACGGAGGGAGUAUGCU
Molecule: microRNA precursor, 136 nt
Filed under: Hordeum vulgare
Lineage: Eukaryota; Viridiplantae; Streptophyta; Magnoliopsida; Poales; Poaceae
Description: microRNA MIR1122
Rfam family: MIR1120/MIR1122 microRNA precursor family
Source: RNAcentral